AGUGAACGCUGGCGGUAGGCCUAACACAUGCAAGUCGAACGGCAGCACAGUAAGAGCUUGCUCUUACGGGUGGCGAGUGGCGGACGGGUGAGGAAUACAUCGGAAUCUACUUUUUCGUGGGGGAUAACGUAGGGAAACUUACGCUAAUACCGCAUACGACCUACGGGUGAAAGCAGGGGAUCUUCGGACCUUGCGCGAUCGAAUGAGCCGAUGUCGGAUUAGCUAGUUGGCGGGGUAAAGGCCCACCAAGGCGACGAUCCGUAGCUGGUCUGAGAGGAUGAUCAGCCACACUGGAACUGAGACACGGUCCAGACUCCUACGGGAGGCAGCAGCGGGGAAUAUUGGACAAUGGGCGCAAGCCUGAUCCAGCCAUACCGCGUGGGUGAAGAAGGCCUUCGGGUUGUAAAGCCCUUUUGUUGGGAAAGAAAAGCAGCAGGUUAAUACCCCGCUGUUCUGACGGUACCCAAAGAAUAAGCACCGGCUAACUUCGUG
Molecule: ribosomal RNA, 492 nt
Filed under: uncultured bacterium
Lineage: Bacteria
Description: partial 16S ribosomal RNA
Rfam family: Bacterial small subunit ribosomal RNA
Source: RNAcentral